ACUAAAUGUAGUAGUCACGGUCCUCUGAUACACAAUAUCAAGGGCUAAGAGGGAAGCCGGUGCGCACACAGCCAAACCGGCGCUGCCCCCGCAACUGUGAGCGGCGAGCGUUCGUCCACAUCAAGUCACUGGGACCGACAGGCCCCGGGAAGACCGGACGGAACCGCGAAGACCCGCGAGCCAGGAGACCUGCCGUGACUGCACGAACGUU
RNAcentral lists this non-coding RNA (211 nucleotides) under Acidobacteriota bacterium. The record is from RNAcentral. Lineage: Bacteria; Pseudomonadati; Acidobacteriota.